GAGCACGUAGGUGGGUUUGUAAGUCAGAUGUGAAAGCCUUCUGUUCAACGGAAGAAUUGCAUCUGAAACUGCGAGUCUUGAGUGUAGGAGGGGAGAAUGGAACUUCUGGUGGAGCGGUGAAAUGCGUAGAUAUCAGAAGGAACGCCGGCGGCGAAAGCGAUUCUCUGGCCUAUUACUGACACUCAGUGUGCGAAAGCUAGGGGAGCAAACGGGAUUAGAUACCCCGGUAGUCCUAGCCGUAAACGAUGGGCACUAAGUAGAGGGAAUUACCGAUGUUCUCUCUGCCGUAGCUAACGCAUUAAGUGCCCCGCCUGGGGAGUACGGCCGCAAGGCUAAAACUCAAAAGAAUUGACGGGGGCUCGCACAAGCGGUGGAGCAUGUGGCUUAAUUCGAUGCAACGCGAAAAACCUUACCGGGGCUUGACAUGGUAGAAGUAGGAACCCGAAAGGGUAACGAACGGUAUCCAGUCCGUAGCUAUCACAGGUGUUGCAUGGCUGUCGUCAGCUCGUGUCGUGAGACGUUGGGUUAAGUCCCCUAACGAGCGAAACCCUUGUUUUUAGUUACCAGCGGGUUAUGCCGGGUACUCUAGAAAGACUGCCGUCGUCAAGACGGAGGAAGGUGGGGAUGACGUCAAGUCAUCAUGGCCCUUAUGCCCCGGGCUGCACACGUGCUACAAUGGUCGGUACAAACGGAAGCGAAGCCGAGAGGUGAAGCGAAUCC
Molecule: ribosomal RNA, 720 nt
Filed under: uncultured anaerobic ammonium-oxidizing bacterium
Lineage: Bacteria
Description: bacterial SSU rRNA
Rfam family: Bacterial small subunit ribosomal RNA
Source: RNAcentral